RNAcentral lists this long non-coding RNA (1740 nucleotides) under Triticum aestivum (bread wheat). Its description in RNAcentral is "long non-coding RNA (TAES_LNC010969)". The record is from RNAcentral. Lineage: Eukaryota; Viridiplantae; Streptophyta; Magnoliopsida; Poales; Poaceae.
UGCGAAGCAAAGCAUCAGAAACUCAACAAAAGCCCUCUAGUUCAUAUGGCUCAGGUAGAGAAUUCCGGUAAUCCAGAACCCAGAACUUAUGAUAAGACCAACAGGCUACGCCUGAAUAGAGGAUACAAGUUUCUCCCAAAUAAUGACAGCACAGUCUACAUUGAUAACGUUAGGAAGACUGCAUCUGAACAAUGCGUCGCCAAACAACCCAACACAGAACAAACAAGAUCUUCCUGUGAAAGAAGCAAUCCGUCUUGCCACUAGCAGCACUACCAUCUCACUACGAGCUCGCCGAGACGCCACGCACGCCCGAUUGCCACGGUACCGCUACUGCGGUGAGUGCUGCGUCCACGGCGAGCAUUAACGCCUGAGCUGCUGGCGCACGACCGGCCUCUUGGCUCCAACAUUGUGGUGGUGCAGAUCAUCCAAUUUCAGUUUCAGUUACUGAAAUUGAAACUGUCAUCGGAUCAUCCAACUGGAUGAUACUCCUUGCUUGUUCUGUAAUUUGAACAUAUGCAGUACAUGACCUCCGAUGUGUGCCAAACACAGUUUCUGCUAGCUGAACAUGACCUUCGAUGAAAUUGAGCUUCAUUUGUGUGUUGGUUAAUUGCUAGCUGAAAAAAGCAGAGGCAUGUGUAUUAUUGGUCAGUAUACUACAGUUGAUCAUGUAUAAGGGAAGGUUGCGAUAUAUGUAUCUGAUUAAUGAAGACUCCUUAUCUUUUUCUGAAAGGAAAAAAAGUUAAGCAGCAUAACACUAGAGAUUGGUAACUUAACACAUGUGCACAACAGAUAUAAUAAAUGAUCACUUUGGAACUAAAAUCAGAGAGUGAUACUGAAUGAUCCGACAAAUAAUACCCAGUCCACACAGAAUAGGGAUUGCGACUAAAAUGACCCACCCAUGUCCAAUUUCUCUGCAACAACAUCAUCUAAAUCCUCAUUGCCUUACCAACAACACAAUAUAAUACCGAUCCAAAACAAAGGAGGGGAUAUGAGAAAUUUUGUAUAACUAACUAAAGACAAUUGGAUGGAUGUUUAAAAAAAAAGACAAUUGGAUGUGCAUUCUGUGUUUUUUAUUAAAAGAGAAGGGGUGUGAAUCAGGAUGAAACAGAGAACAUAUUGAUUAUUGACCAUAACUUGCUUUGUCAUCCAUCGAAUUUGCUAACCAAGCAGGGGAAACAUCUCUAUGAAAUUCCCAAAGAUAAUAGGUACCUACCCAUCGACGACACGAAGUAGGGAGGGGAUUGGGACUAAAAUGAUGUCAAAAUUUCCCUGAAACUCCAUCCUCUAAAUCCUCACUGCCUUGCCAAAUACCACAAUAUAUAUAAGUAGUUUUGGUUAAAUAAACCAUACUGCAUAUAUAAGUAGUUUUACAUUAAACUAAUAAUAACUAAACUGUGCCAAGAACAGCACGACGGAGCAUAUGCAAUAUCUAGAACUGGUCGUCUUACAAUGCGAGAUAGAUUGAUCGACGAUGGCUGAAGAAGAAGGUAUUUGGACGGCAUGCAGCCAGGCCAUCGACGACGCCUGACGCCGAAGCCGGCCGAUUAAGACCGGUCGGCCGCACGCGGUCCGAGUGCCGCUAGUACGAGGCGCACUCGCCGACGGCAUGCAAACUGGCCACCAGUAGCUGGCCUUGCAUCCGCCCGCGCUCCGGCGGGUAGCGCUGCAUCGCGGCCAGGACGAGACCGGCGCGGUGGAUGCUGUCACCGAGGCUGUCGCGCCCGUGCGGCAUCAAGUCGG